This is a small nucleolar RNA of Perognathus longimembris pacificus (Pacific pocket mouse), 79 nucleotides long. RefSeq annotates it as small nucleolar RNA SNORD45. The transcript has a single exon. The record is from RefSeq and is a predicted model, not a curated record. Lineage: Eukaryota; Metazoa; Chordata; Mammalia; Rodentia; Heteromyidae.
GGUCAGUGAUGAGCCGGCAUGUAUUCUGAAACUGAAGUUGAUUAAUACUACUUUAGCUCUAGAAUUACUCUGAGACCUA